Molecule: ribosomal RNA, 278 nt
Filed under: Chaetoceros curvisetus
Lineage: Eukaryota; Bacillariophyta; Thalassiosirophyceae; Chaetocerotales; Chaetocerotaceae
Description: partial Bacterial small subunit ribosomal RNA
Rfam family: Bacterial small subunit ribosomal RNA
Source: RNAcentral
UUCCGCCUGGGGAGUACGGCCGCAAGGCUGAAACUCAAAGGAAUUGACGGGGACCCGCACAAGCGGUGGAUGAUGUGGAUUAAUUCGAUGCAACGCGAAAAACCUUACCUACCCUUGACAUGUCUGGAAUCCUGAAGAGAUUUAGGAGUGCUCGCAAGAGAACCGGAACACAGGUGCUGCAUGGCUGUCGUCAGCUCGUGUUGUGAAAUGUUGGGUUAAGUCCCGCAACGAGCGCAACCCUUGUCUUAUGUUGCCAGCACGUUUGGGUGGGGACUCAU